AUUGUCAUAUCCAAAAAACAGUUUGAGAUGAUCUGAGCUUUGCCACAUGAUGUAUUAUCCAGCUGGGUACACAAAUAAGGGAUUGACACAGCAUUAAUGGAUGGACACGGACAGCAACACAAGCAACCUAGACAGGUAGGGUUGGCAUUCAAACAAUGGCAGGCAAUAUUUUCCCAGUUGUCUGUUGUCCAGUUUUGGUGAGCCCGUGAAAACUGUAUCCUCAGUUUCCCAUCCUUAGCUGACAGGAGAGGCACCUGUUGUGGUCUUCUGCUGCUGUAGCCCAUCUGCUUCAAGACCUGAUGUCUGGUGCUACUCUGCAUACCUUGGUUGCAAUGAGUGGUUAUUUGAGUUGCUGUCAGCUUCAACUCAAAGCUUGAUCACACAGCCUUCUUUACUGCCUGGUCUCUGUCACGGUCUGUUAACAAGACGCCGACGAUUUUGCAACACUUUGUGCUGAAGCCAAUAAGUGUUGAUGCAGAGCUGGAUCGUGUUUCUAAUCGUGAGUAAUUGUUGCACAAUAUGCGAUUGGUUUAAUGUUGAAGACGUACUCUUUAACUUUUCAUUUAUUGCUCAGUAAUUAUCUUUACUGUGCAGCAUACAGCAAUUGGAACUGUUUAUUUUACAGCUCACAGUCACAAGAAGCUUGAUAAGAAGUUUGAGGACACACUUAUACUCUGAUAACAUAGUCUUUAAUAUUAACCUCAUGUAGUUGUAUGCCAUUUCUUGAUUAUAGCACUCAGUGGCAUUACUGUUGUGAAAGAAGAGAUACAGCAUCUGCAAAAAAAAAAAAAAGCUGUUGUCUUAGCACAGAGAUCACAGUGUGCAUGUUAGCACAUGUAAACUGAAGGGUGAGCUCUUUUCCCUGGAACGGUUUAUAGAUGUGUGUUGAAACUGGCUCGCGGACAUGACACAUAACAACAGCAGCAGCA
Long non-coding RNA from Oreochromis aureus, 929 nucleotides. RefSeq lists it as uncharacterized. NCBI's taxonomy places the organism in Eukaryota, Metazoa, Chordata, Actinopteri, Cichliformes, Cichlidae. The transcript is spliced from 2 exons. The record is from RefSeq and is a predicted model, not a curated record.